UAAACUUUAUAAAUAAAGAUAAAAAUAUAUUUUAAAGCUAUCACAGAGAUUUUCGGUAUUAAAACCACAAUUCUCGAUGCUAUUUGAAGGUAGGCUCCAAUUUGAUUGUUUAGAGCCUAGGCUCUAUACAAACCGCACCUUAUAUAUAUAUGGAAAAAGAUGUGCUUGGCCGUCUCGCUCGUAGCAUUCAGGUGUGCCCAACGGCACUGAUUUAACUUUUGAGUUUGGAGGGUAAGGAUGCCAUCCUGUGGGGAGUUGGUUUGAAAGUUAACAAAAAAAUUUAAUCCCGUGGAUAGUGACACCCACAGAGAAAUCGGUACGAGUACUCCCUCUCCUUUCGCUCUCUGCGUAUUCUCUCUCCUCUUGCUCUCUCUACGUAUUCUCUCUCCUCUCGCUGCAUAUUCUCUCUCCUCCGCAUAGCAGCUUAUCCCUGCUAAAACAAGCUCUCUUCUUGCUGCUACCAUUUGUCCCUGCUCCUCAAACCCGUGUAUCUUGCACAGAAGCUCUCUCCCUCUCAAGAUUUUGUGCUGCAGAAAGUGAAAGCUGCAAAUGAUUUAAAAGAUAACCCAUUGGUGGAAACAUGAGGCAAUUGUGUUAGCAGUCAAUGGCUAGAACUUGUAUCUCAAGUAAUAGACUUCGGAUUAUUUGCUGCAACUUGUAAAAUACCUUUUGGGAUCCUUUGUAUUUGAUUGGUACUCUAUCCAUAGUUUUGGUACUAUUGUUUUCUACGCCUUUAACUAGAUUGACAGAACUCAAUAUAAGCAUUGUAGCAUUUUUUCAUGGCUGUGUCUAUUGAAGUCCCGAAAUUAUGUAUAUUGGUCUGGAGACAAUUUUUUCUUUUUGGGAGAAGUAUAUGGUUGUUUUGUUACUCUACUACUUUUGGGUAAUGCUCUUAUAGUGUUAAUUUUGGGCUGAA
Molecule: RNA transcript, 916 nt
Organism: Amborella trichopoda
Lineage: Eukaryota; Viridiplantae; Streptophyta; Magnoliopsida; Amborellales; Amborellaceae
Gene name: mediator of RNA polymerase II transcription subunit 15a-like
Source: RefSeq, a predicted model, not a curated record